GUAAAUUACCAAAAUCUUUAAAGCUAAACUUUACGUGUUUAAACUUUUAGGCAGAAACAUAGGGACUUUUUUCAUUCUUUGCAGUGACUCUAAACAGAGGGCUGAACCUUCAAGCAGAGGAGUCUGAGUCAUCAACUGAUACCUCAACAUCCGAGACCUCAUCUGAUACUGACUCCUCAUCUGUGCUUUCAGAGGAUGUGGUGUUACCCGAUCUGUGGGGCGAUUUGGACCAAUAUUUCCGAGAGGGGCUAUGCCAUCAUCACCGCCACAGGAUUACACAACCGGGCAUGCCUCAGACCGUCAAAACAUUAUACAUUCUCUAGAGGCUGCCCGGUUAACCGGAGGAGAUCCAGGGGAUGCGAUACCGCAUCAAAAUUUUGAAGCACAACCGCCAUUUCACCAGGAGUCUGUCUCAACCGCUAAUCAACCGCUGAUGGCCGCGGAGAGGUCUAGACCUCAACCAGCGGACAGAGAUCCAGAUCCAGAUCCAGAUUCUCAUCGGGUCGCAACAACAGGAGAACCAGCUCCAGUUCUGAGAAUCCACA
This is a long non-coding RNA of Siniperca chuatsi (mandarin fish), 545 nucleotides long. RefSeq lists it as uncharacterized. The record is from RefSeq and is a predicted model, not a curated record. Lineage: Eukaryota; Metazoa; Chordata; Actinopteri; Centrarchiformes; Sinipercidae. The transcript has 3 exons.